CAAAAUGUAGCUUAACUCAAAGCCCCUCGCUUACACCGAGAAAAUGUCUGUGGAACCCAAACCAUUUUGA
Molecule: non-coding RNA, 70 nt
Organism: Nanorana parkeri
Lineage: Eukaryota; Metazoa; Chordata; Amphibia; Anura; Dicroglossidae
Source: the annotation of a RefSeq genome assembly